ACAUGCAAGUCGAACGGCAGCACGGGUGCUUGCACCUGGUGGCGAGUGGCGAACGGGUGAGUAAUACAUCGGAACAUGUCCUGUAGUGGGGGAUAGCCCGGCGAAAGCCGGAUUAAUACCGCAUACGAUCUACGGAUGAAAGCGGGGGACCUUCGGGCCUCGCGCUAUAGGGUUGGCCGAUGGCUGAUUAGCUAGUUGGUGGGGUAAAGGCCUACCAAGGCGACGAUCAGUAGCUGGUCUGAGAGGACGACCAGCCACACUGGGACUGAGACACGGCCCAGACUCCUACGGGAGGCAGCAGUGGGGAAUUUUGGACAAUGGGCGAAAGCCUGAUCCAGCAAUGCCGCGUGUGUGAAGAAGGCCUUCGGGUUGUAAAGCACUUUUGUCCGGAAAGAAAUCCUUGACCCUAAUACGGUCGGGGGAUGACGGUACCGGAAGAAUAAGCACCGGCUAACUACGUGCCAGCAGCCGCGGUAAUACGUAGGGUGCGAGCGUUAAUCGGAAUUACUGGGCGUAAAGCGUGCGCAGGCGGUUUGCUAAGACCGAUGUGAAAUCCCCGGGCUCAACCUGGGAACUGCAUUGGUGACUGGCAGGCUAGAGUAUGGCAGAGGGGGGUAGAAUUCCACGUGUAGCAGUGAAAUGCGUAGAGAUGUGGAGGAAUACCGAUGGCGAAGGCAGCCCCCUGGGCCAAUACUGACGCUCAUGCACGAAAGCGUGGGGAGCAAACAGGAUUAG
This 735-nucleotide ribosomal RNA is filed under the name Burkholderia arboris. Its description in RNAcentral is "bacterial SSU rRNA". It matches the Rfam family "Bacterial small subunit ribosomal RNA", at positions 53 to 781 of the family's 1533-position model. Lineage: Bacteria; Pseudomonadati; Pseudomonadota; Betaproteobacteria; Burkholderiales; Burkholderiaceae. The record is from RNAcentral.